AGAGUUUGAUCCUGGCUCAGAUUGAACGCUGGCGGCAGGCCUAACACAUGCAAGUCGAAUGGUAACAGGAAGAAGCUUGCUUCUUUGCUGACGAGUGGCGGACGGGUGAGUAAUGUCUGGCAACCUGCCCUUAGGAUGGGGACAACGGCCCGAAAGGACCGCUAAUACCGAAUGCACUCUAACUUCCGCAUGGAAGAAAGAGGAAAGAUGGUGCAAGCCAUCGCCGAAGGAAGGGCCUGCGUCUGAUUAGCCAGUUGGUGAGGUAACGGCUCACCAAAGCGACGAUCAGUAGCCGGUCUGAGAGGAUGAACGGCCACAAUGGGACUGAGACACGGCCCAUACUCCUACGGGAGGCAGCAGUGGGGAAUCUUCCGCAAUGGGCGAAAGCCUGACGGAGCAACGCCGCGUGGGUGAAGAAGGUCUUCGGGUCGUAAAGCUCUGUUGUUGGGGACGAAAGGAAAAGGGAGGAAAUGCCCUUUUUAAGACGGUACCCGACGAGCAAGCCACGGCUAACUACGUGCCAGCAGCCGCGGU
Molecule: ribosomal RNA, 534 nt
Filed under: Selenomonas sp. oral clone 5RH-14
Lineage: Bacteria; Bacillati; Bacillota; Negativicutes; Selenomonadales; Selenomonadaceae
Description: bacterial SSU rRNA
Rfam family: Bacterial small subunit ribosomal RNA
Source: RNAcentral